AGAGCUGUGGUUACCCUGGUUUCAAAAACCAACUUUUAGAAUUAUGAAAACAUUUGGAAGCUUCAAAACUAAGACUUAGCUAUGAAAGAAUGAUGUGUAUCCUGAUUGUUUGUCACAAAUACUUCACAUCACUUUCUGUGAAGCGUUUCCUGAAUUCCUUAGAAGAUUUGAUGGUGAUUUUAUGGACGAAUUGGUAGACUUAAUUUUUCAAUGGAUAUCAGGUCUAAAACCAAGGAAACAUGCAUGGAAUAAAUAGUGUCUUGAAAGCUGCAAGGAUACCACUGUCAAUCGUGACAGUAAAGGUGCUACUGCUGACAUGCCCACAAGUGAAUCUGCCAGAU
Lagopus muta (rock ptarmigan) is the source of this 341-nucleotide long non-coding RNA. RefSeq lists it as uncharacterized. NCBI's taxonomy places the organism in Eukaryota, Metazoa, Chordata, Aves, Galliformes, Phasianidae. The record is from RefSeq and is a predicted model, not a curated record. The transcript is spliced from 3 exons.